GGUGGGGUACCGAAGCGGUCAAACGGGGCAGACUGUAAAUCUGCUGGCUCAAGCCUUCGUAGGUUCGAAUCCUACCCCCACCA
This 83-nucleotide transfer RNA is filed under the name Gemmatimonadota bacterium. RNAcentral describes it as "Gemmatimonadetes bacterium (freshwater metagenome) tRNA-Tyr". It matches the Rfam family "tRNA". Rfam says of the family: Transfer RNA (tRNA) molecules are approximately 80 nucleotides in length. Their secondary structure includes four short double-helical elements and three loops (D, anti-codon, and T loops). Lineage: Bacteria; Pseudomonadati; Gemmatimonadota. RNAcentral also lists the same sequence under 1 other name. The record is from RNAcentral.